UAGGGAAUCUUCGGCAAUGGACGGAAGUCUGACCGAGCAACGCCGCGUGAGUGAAGAAGGUUUUCGGAUCGUAAAGCUCUGUUGUAAGAGAAGAACGAGUGUGAGAGUGGAAAGUUCACACUGUGACGGUAUCUUACCAGAAAGGGACGGCUAACUACGUG
This 161-nucleotide ribosomal RNA is filed under the name uncultured Streptococcus sp. RNAcentral's name for it is "partial 16S ribosomal RNA". It matches the Rfam family "Bacterial small subunit ribosomal RNA", at positions 355 to 507 of the family's 1533-position model. The record is from RNAcentral. Lineage: Bacteria; Bacillati; Bacillota; Bacilli; Lactobacillales; Streptococcaceae. RNAcentral also lists the same sequence under 1 other name.